RNAcentral lists this ribosomal RNA (833 nucleotides) under bacterium enrichment culture clone Dan60S_42E. RNAcentral describes it as "bacterial SSU rRNA". It matches the Rfam family "Bacterial small subunit ribosomal RNA", at positions 679 to 1503 of the family's 1533-position model. The record is from RNAcentral.
GGGUAAAAUCUUAAGAAUUCGGCAGGAACCCCGGUGGCGAAGGCGUUUUCCUGGGCUGGACCUGACGCUGAGGCUCGAAAGCCAGGGGAGGGAACGGGAUUAGAUACCCCGGUAGUCCUGGCCCUAAACGAUGCUCACUAGGUGUGGGGUGCGUAGAGCACUCCGUGCUGAAGCAAACGCGAUAAGUGAGCCGCCUGGGGAGUACGCCCGCAAGGGUGAAACUCAAAGGAAUUGACGGGGGCCCGCGCAAGCGGUGGAGCGUGUGGUUUAAUUCGAUGCUAAGCGAAGGACCUUACCAGGGCUUGACAUGCUGGUGGUACUGAACCGAAAGGGGAAGGACCCACCGUUAGGUGGGAGCCAGCACAGGUGGUGCACGGCCGUCGUCAGCUCGUGCCGUGAGGUGUUGGGUUAAGUCCCGCAACGAGCGCAACCCCUGCCCCUAGUUGCCAGCGGUUAGGCCGGGCACUCUAGGGGGACCGCCGCCGACGAGGCGGAGGAAGGGGGGGAUGACGUCAGGUAUCGUGCCCCUUAUGUCCUGGGCGACACACGCGCUACAAUGGGACGGACAGCGGGGAGCGAGGCAGCGAUGCUGAGCAAAUCCCUGAAACCGUUCCUCAGUUCGGAUUGCAGGCUGCAACCCGCCUGCAUGAAGCCGGAAUCGCUAGUAAUCGCGGAUCAGCCAUGCCGCGGUGAAUACGUUCCCGGGCCUUGUACACACCGCCCGUCAAGCCACCCGAGUUGGCAACACCUGAAGACGGGUGUCCCAACCGAAAGGAGGGAGCCCGUUUAAGGUGGGGCUGGCGAGGGGGGCUAAGUCGUAACAAGGUAACCGU